RNAcentral lists this ribosomal RNA (369 nucleotides) under uncultured phototrophic eukaryote. Its description in RNAcentral is "SSU rRNA". It matches the Rfam family "Bacterial small subunit ribosomal RNA", at positions 524 to 896 of the family's 1533-position model. The record is from RNAcentral.
UACGGGGGAUGCAAGCGUUAUCCGGAAUCAUUGGGCGUAAAGCGCCUGUAGGUUGUUUAAUAAGUCUGUUGUUAAAGACUAGGGCUCAACCCUAGGAAAGCAAUGGAAACUACUAGACUAGAGUAUGAUAGGGGUAGAGGGAAUUUCUAGUGUAGCGGUGAAAUGCGUAGAUAUUAGAAAGAACACCGGUGGCGAAGGCGCUCUACUGGAUCAUUACUGACACUCAGAGGCGAAAGCUAGGGUAGCAAAAGGGAUUAGAUACCCCUGUAGUCCUAGCCGUAAACGAUGGAUACUAGAUGUUGUAUGUUAUUUACAGUAUCGUAGCUAACGCGUUAAGUAUCCCGCCUGGGGAGUACGCUCGCAAGGGUG